Molecule: non-coding RNA, 318 nt
Organism: Pelobates cultripes (western spadefoot toad)
Lineage: Eukaryota; Metazoa; Chordata; Amphibia; Anura; Pelobatidae
Source: the annotation of a GenBank genome assembly
UUUAUCCUUGACUGGCAUUUUACUGUUCCUGUACUCCAUGCAAUCGAGGUGAGAAUCAUACAAAAAACGCCUUAUACAUAGAGCAGUGUUUCCUGCUCUAGACUUGUGAGUAUAAUUGUAUUUAUUUUACACCAUUGUUUAUCACAUUGACAGCACUAUUGGUGCCAUUUUAUCUUUUCAAAGCAUUUAAGAACUACACUGCACAGACGGCCGCACUUUUCCUGCAUAUCCCAUAUACGGGAUUAUGCUGCUGUAUGCCAUCUAUACUAGAGCUGGUUAUAGCUUUUUUGUGAGUGUAUUACCAUAUAUAUAUAUAUA